AAAAAGGCAAACCCUGAGUUUCCGUGUCCAACUUUAACUGUCCGUCUUAUAUAUUUUUUUUAUAAUUCGUAUUUUCAUUGUUGUUAGAUGAUAAAACAUGAUUAAUAUUUUAUGCGUGACUUGUCUUUUUAAUUUUUUUCAUAUUUUUUUCAAAUAAGACGGACUGUCAAACAUUGGACACGGAAAUU
This 188-nucleotide microRNA precursor is filed under the name Oryza nivara. RNAcentral's name for it is "MIR812 microRNA precursor family". It matches the Rfam family "MIR812 microRNA precursor family". The record is from Rfam by way of RNAcentral. Lineage: Eukaryota; Viridiplantae; Streptophyta; Magnoliopsida; Poales; Poaceae.